Molecule: ribosomal RNA, 588 nt
Filed under: uncultured Lachnospiraceae bacterium
Lineage: Bacteria; Bacillati; Bacillota; Clostridia; Lachnospirales; Lachnospiraceae
Description: bacterial SSU rRNA
Rfam family: Bacterial small subunit ribosomal RNA
Source: RNAcentral
AGUGGCGGACGGGUGAGUAACGCGCGGGUAACCUGCCUCAUACAGGGGGAUAACAGUUAGAAAUGACUGCUAAUACCGCAUAAGACCACAGCACCGCAUGGUGCAGGGGUAAAAACUCCGGUGGUAUAAGAUGGACCCGCGUUGGAUUAGCUAGUUGGUGGGGUAACGGCCCACCAAGGCGACGAUCCAUAGCCGGCCUGAGAGGGUGAACGGCCACAUUGGGACUGAGACACGGCCCAGACUCCUACGGGAGGCAGCAGUGGGGAAUAUUGCACAAUGGGGGAAACCCUGAUGCAGCGACGCCGCGUGAAGGAAGAAGUAUCUCGGUAUGUAAACUUCUAUCAGCAGGGAAGAUAGUGACGGUACCUGACUAAGAAGCCCCGGCUAACUACGUGCCAGCAGCCGCGGUAAUACGUAGGGGGCAAGCGUUAUCCGGAUUUACUGGGUGUAAAGGGAGCGUAGACGGUGUGGCAAGUCUGAUGUGAAAGGCAUGGGCUCAACCUGUGGACUGCAUUGGAAACUGUCAUACUUGAGUGCCGGAGGGGUAAGCGGAAUUCCUAGUGUAGCGGUGAAAUGCGUAGAUAUUAG